GACAGACUCGACCGACUCGGACUGACACGACAGACUCGGACUGACACGACAGACUCGGACUGACACGACAGACUCGGACUGACCGACCUGACAGAUUCAGACUGACCUUGACUGGCUCGGACAUACUUCGACUUACUCGUGUGUACUUAGACUGACUCUCACUGACUUGGAUCGACUCGUACAUACUCAGACGGACUCUGAUUGACUAAUACAUACUCAGACGUACUCGGAUUGACUCGUACGUAUUCGGAUUUACUGGGACUAUUUGGUAUGUACUUAACCCUACUUGAGCUCAAGAUGUGUACAAAGAGGAGCCCUGCAGUUACAGCCAGUCAUUGCGAGAGGCCAGCAACAGAUUGGGUGGGGCUGUCUUGGGUAGGAAGAUCUUACCACAGAUGCCCAAGGAGUCACACUGAGGAGAAAGAAAUUGGAUAAGAGUACCUGUUGGUGGUUAUAGAUGAGGAUUUGAAUGGCGAACUCUACACCGUUGCACAUCUUGUUGAUCAGCCAACGGACAUCCACAGAGUUAAACCUGCUUUUGACGCUGUUGGCCGGGCGAACUCCUCCAACACCAAUGUUGACGCCAUCGAAGACUCGGUACAACCUGCCAGGAUUUGCUGUCAUCGAGAACCUUGCAGCAUAACUGUUUUCUCAAGUGGAUGGGAAUCUUCCGCUCACGUCCAAACAGUCUGCGUACUGGAUUUGAAGAGCGGUACAGUCCUGGCCAGUGCAACAAAUCUUGAGCUCCCAACACUCUCAAACAUCCUGGUGUAAAGUCUUUAAUUGGAAUGUAGUAUCAGAGCACCAGACUUCAUACCUGCUGCCAAGCCAGACUGUAAUAGGCAUGUUGAGGCAGUGGUACAACGACUUUGCAACAGGUUUCCAAGCUCCACCAAGCAGCAGAGCCAGAAUGCGACCAGAUGGAGUAGAAGAUCCAGACCACGAUUCUACAAAGUGGCACUGUCAUGGCAGAAACCAAAAUCCAACUGCCAUUCCUGGCACAACAAAAGCUACGCAGUGACAACACCAGGCUGGCGGAACAAGGGCUGCGUCUGCCAGAUAAACCGCUGGCUUCAACUUCAGCACUGCUUCGGCAACGAACUCGAGCAGUGUUUGAGAGUGCUUCUUCGUACCUGCAUACGAUUUCCACACCAUCGGACACAGCAGGUAUUGCGCCACCGAAGAUGAGGGAGUUCCAGCCCAUUGCCCUGCAACACAUCCAUGUUUGGCUCCACCAUCAUUCUCUUCACCAUCUUUCAACCAGCCUACAUCUGUGCAAACUAUUCGUACCCCCUGUAGCCUUUAUCGGAACUCCAUUCACCUCCACCAGACCAUCGCCUACUGUUCACUAUCAGACACAACGCAUCAAGGAACAGGAGUUCCUAGAGUGGAUAAGAGGUCGUGAUCAUAAUUGACUGCAGAUCACCUCCACUAAUGUCUGUAUUUUCACCAAUAACUCAAGGAUACCCCUGCUAGUUCAAUAUGGUUCCAGAGGAGAUCAUGACAACAACAAGAACUGUGAAAUCGUCCCAUGCAAGAGAUGCUCUACAACUUCAAUUUGAACGUUUAAUUACCCACUUUUCCCAUUUGCUACCCUUGUAGGGUGCUAGAGCUCCUGUAAGUUGUGUGCCAACCAGGUCAUUCCCUUAAAUUGUUGGUGAACGGAGCAGCUUUAGGGCACCUGCCUGCCCUACUUGGGUUGUGAUGAACAUCUCAGUGGGUCAGAAAAAUGUGUUUGUAGGUCGCAAGAUUUUUGCUACCAUCUAGGAUGGAAACAUGAACAAUUUCCAGAAGCUCUAGAAUGAACCGGAUAUGCCCAAAUAAAUUUAAUUGACUGAUGGUUUCGUGUAUGAGCCAUCCAGUCUGUGACGGAAGGAGCCACCCGUGUGAUUGAGGAGACACAGAUGAUGUCCUGUUGCAGCCCGAGAUGGGAGUUAGCAUUUAAAAAUGAUAAGUUAAUAUUGUAAAAAUUAAGCCCAGUACAGAGCUGCCUAAUUGUUAUCAGUUCACAAAUUAAAGCCUUGUGAAAAUUGGGAAAAAUAUAUCACUCUUACCAUUCACUAAAAUAUUGUGGAUUUGUAAUAGCUCUGGUAAAAAUCCAAGUUGUUUUAAAGUGUAGUUGUGAAUCAAACUUAUGUAAUCUCUUUCCUCAUAAGGUUGGGAAAGGAUGGCUGUGUGGGGAGAAGGGAGGCCAUUUCAUGCAUGUGUAAUAAGUUUUAUAGAAGAGUGUUGUAUAUUUCAAUAAGGAGAAAUUUGUACCUCUCUGGUAUGAAUAAAAUGUUAAUCAUAUUGUAAAAUUAUAUAAUCUCUUUCUGCAUAAGGUUGGGAAAGGAUGGCUGUGUGGGGAGAAGGGAGGCCAUUUCAUGCAUUUGUAAUAAGUUUUAUAUAAGAGUGUUGUAUAUUUCAAUAAGGAGAAAUUUGUACCUCUCUGGUAUGAAUAAAAUGUUAAUCAUAUUGUAAAAUUAUAUAAUCUCUUUCUGCAUAAGGUUGGGAAAGGAUGGCUGUGUGGGGAGAAGGGAGGCCAUUUCAUGCAUUUGUAAUAAGUUUUAUAUAAGAGUGUUGUAUAUUUCAAUAAGGAGAAAUUUGUACCUCUCUGGUAUGAAUAAAAUGUUAAUCAUAUUGUAAAAUUAUAUAAUCUCUUUCUGCAUAAGGUUGGGAAAGGAUGGCUGUAUGGGGAGAUGGGAGGCCAUUUCAUGCAUUUGUAAUAAGUUUUAUAGAAGAGUGUUGUAUAUUUCAAUAAGGAUAAAUUUGUACCUCUCUGGUAUGAAUAAAAUGAUAAUCAUAUUGUAAAAUUAUAUAAUCUCUUUUUGCAUAAGGUUGGGAAAGGAUGGCUGUGUGGGGAGAAGGGAGGCCAUUUCAUGCAUUUGUAAUAAGUUUUAUAGAAGAGUGUUGUAUAUUUCAAUAAGGAGAAAUUUGUACCUCUCUGGUAUGAAUAAAAUGAUAAUCAUAUUGUAAAAUUAUAUAAUCUCUUUCUGCAUAAGGUUGGGAAAGGAUGGCUGUAUGGGGAGAUGGGAGGCCAU
Molecule: long non-coding RNA, 3020 nt
Organism: Lytechinus variegatus (green sea urchin)
Lineage: Eukaryota; Metazoa; Echinodermata; Echinoidea; Temnopleuroida; Toxopneustidae
Exons: 5
Source: RefSeq, a predicted model, not a curated record